Molecule: unclassified non-coding RNA, 3056 nt
Filed under: Hevea brasiliensis (rubber tree)
Lineage: Eukaryota; Viridiplantae; Streptophyta; Magnoliopsida; Malpighiales; Euphorbiaceae
Source: RNAcentral
GGAGUCUCAAAUUUGCAAAACCAGCCCCUUGAAAUUUACCUUUCCCCUUACCUGCAGCUCCCAGCCUUCUUCAAUUGCCGCUUAAACUUCUCCUCCGUUUCUCUCUGCAACAUUCUUUUGUCUGCUGCUUAAAUUUGAGUUAUCGAUGGAGGAUUCUAAGCUGUGUUCUUCAAACGAGAUCAUAGAGACAGAUGAGAGCUGUACAAUAGUCCUUGAACUUCCUGAAAAUGACCCUUUUUUUGAUAAAAAGAAGAAUUUACUGCGUAAUAAGGGUUUUGAGGUCCGGGAACAUGUACAGCUCCAGAGCAUUACAUGUCCUGAUUCAAUUGCUACCACGUUGGAAAAAAUUCUUGGGAUAGCAAGAAUUACACACUUGGAUGAGGUAGAACUUUAUUUUUGUGAAGUUGAUGAAUGUUCAUCAGUGGAAUAUUGUAGCCCCAGAAAUGAGGUGGAAGCUCUUAAUUCAAUCCUAUCACUCGUUAACAGCUUGCUGUCUCGUAAAACACGCACGGAAAUGAAUGUCUUGCAAGCCUUUCAAGAUGCAAUUGUUAAUAGGUUGGAGAAAUUUGUGGACAAGAACAGAGAGGAGAGUAGAAUAGAUAAAAGCUACAGUUGUGACAAAGAAAAAAGGAUAGCAGAAUGGGGUGAAAUCAAUGGCAUAAAAUCAAGAUUGGAGAUUGUCUAUGUUGAAGGAGCUGGUAGAGGAGCCAUUGCAACAAAAGAUCUGAAAGUUGGGGAUAUUGCCUUGGAGAUUCCUGUGUCUAUUAUAAUUUCUGAGGAUAUUGUGCAUCAAUCUGACAUGUUUCAUAUAUUGGGGAAGAUUGAUGGGAUCUCAUCUGAGACUAUGUUGUUGCUAUGGAGCAUGAAAGAGAGGCAUCAUUGUAAUUCAAAAUUCAAGAUUUACUUUGAUACACUGCCAAAAGAAUUUAAUACAGGGCUGAGCUUUGGAGUUGCUGCAAUUGUGGCUUUGGAUGGAACUUUGUUAUUAGAGGAGAUAAUGCAAGCAAAAGAGGUUAUUAGACUUUGUUAUUUUGUUUUUAUGCAUAUUGAACCUGGCAUCUUGGGAGGUCAUUGGAAUUGUGGGAAAAGCAAUUUGAUUUUGUUACAUUACUUUUGCGUUUUAAGGUUUUUUAUUGUGAUUUGCUAUGUUGUGGUGCAUUAAAAGCCACAAACCAAUGCUGUGGAUUAGUGCAUUGUUCUUGUAGACACGAGAGCUACUGAUAAUUUCGUGGCAGGUAAGAUGGCAUCUCGGUUCAAGUUAAACAUACAUGAAGAUACAGGAAAGAUUAAGUUUGUUAACUCUAAAGCAUUGAACACCAUAAGCAUUGCUCGUGGAGCAUCUUGCCAGAUGAGGCGUUGAAAAGCAUUUGCGCAAUCAUUAUGAUGAGUUGGUUCCUGCACUAUGCCAUAAUUAUCCAGAUGUAUUUCCACUAGAGCUCUAUACAUGGGAGCAGUUCUUAUGGGCUUGUGAACUCUGGUACUCCAAUAGCAUGAAAGUCAUGUUUCUUGAUGGAAAGCUAAGGACUUGCUUGAUUCCUAUUGCAGGCUUUCUUAACCAUUCACUCCACCCACAUAUCAUUCACUAUGGCAAAGUAGAUUCUAUAACAAAAACAUUGAAAUUCCCACUGUCAAGGCCUUGCAGUAUUGGACAACAAUGCUGUCUUAGCUAUGGGAACUUCUCUAGUUCACAUCUACUUGCAUUCUAUGGCUUCAUACCACAAGGAGACAAUCCAUAUGAUGUAAUUCCAUUAGAUUUUGAUGCUGGUGAGCUGGACCCUAUGGAGGAUUGCCCGGUGUCUAGCCAAACUACUCACAUGGUCCGGGGUACAUGGCUCUCAAAGAACCAUAAUCUAUUCCAUUAUGGUUUGCCAUGUCCAUUGCUAAAUUUUCUACGGAGAGCUCGGAGUCCUACACUGCACACUAAGACCAUUGUAAUUUUCUCUGUAUCGUGUUCUAUGCUGUCCCUAUGCAAAUAUUUUCUCAGCAAUUGGUGUAAAUAUGGGUGGAUUGUUUGUUGUUAUGCCUGUGAGCUUUAUCAUUAUUUGUUUUUCCAGUUUUCCUGUAUUUCUUGAAUCAUCAAUUUCUUGACUUGAUUUUUCAAUCAAUUUAUACAAUUCAUACUCAUGGUCUAGUGCUUUUUUCUUUAAUAAUUUGUAGACGCAAUCAAACUUGGAAAUAGAAAUAGAAAUUCUGGAAGUCCUGCAGUCCACUUUCAAUAACAUGAUGGAAAAUCUUGGUGACACUGACCCUGUUGACAGGUAAGAUUUCUGUAUCAGAAAAAUGUCCUUUUGAGAAGCAAACAAGUUCCGUUUUAUGAAGAGAGGUAUUAUGUUAUCAUUACAGAGAAAAUGCUACUUGGGAUGUUAAGCUGGCAUUAGAAUUCAAAGAUCUGCAAAGACGAAUCGUCUCCUCGAUUUUAACUUCAUGUGAUUCUGGUCUCAAGUUGGUGCAAAAUGAAUUUUCCAGGUCUGUAGUCGAGGAGUGAGCACCGAGUACAACUUUUAGCUGUGGAUUAGAUGCGUUUGCAUGAAGCAUCAUAUCUGUCUGCAUACCAGAAAACUGAAAAAUAUGGUAUGUACAGCAGACUGAGAUAAAUUUUGUGUUAGGACUACGCUGCAAGGUUAAUUACCUAUCAGAAUCUCUACUGUUUGGAAAGUCUAAAAACGAAAGAAUUAAAUUCAAUUUGACCAUUUAUAAUCAAUUUAUCUCAAAAGUAAUAUGAUAUUGCAAGAAUUCAAUUUAUUUAAUGAACUAUCCUGUUAAAGUCUCCAAAAUGGCCCCAUUAAUAUUUGUUUCUUUGUAAAUAAGGAUAAAUGAUAUGGGACACAUCUUGCCCACCAUGCAUGUCUAGCCUAGCAAGCAAACUUAGCCAACAAGGAGUAUUAAUUUGUAUUUAGUUUUCCAAGGAGUAUUUAUUGGAAUAUUAAUUUUCCUACUUAUUAGCUAAGUAUACUCUUCAAGUAUUUGGUAAUUUAUGUAAUAGUUGUAGAAAAAGUAGAACUCUAUUAUAAAUGUAUAGCCUCGGAGGCAUCAUGAAUCAUACAUCAAUAUAAUUU